This 656-nucleotide ribosomal RNA is filed under the name Bacillus sp. JC42. RNAcentral describes it as "bacterial SSU rRNA". It matches the Rfam family "Bacterial small subunit ribosomal RNA", at positions 119 to 761 of the family's 1533-position model. The record is from RNAcentral. Lineage: Bacteria; Bacillati; Bacillota; Bacilli; Caryophanales; Bacillaceae.
GGGUAACCUGCCUGUAAGACUGGGAUAACUCCGGGAAACCGGAGCUAAUACCGGAUAGUUCCUUGAACCGCAUGGUUCAAGGAUGAAAGACGGUUUCGGCUGUCACUUACAGAUGGACCCGCGGCGCAUUAGCUAGUUGGUGAGGUAACGGCUCACCAAGGCGACGAUGCGUAGCCGACCUGAGAGGGUGAUCGGCCACACUGGGACUGAGACACGGCCCAGACUCCUACGGGAGGCAGCAGUAGGGAAUCUUCCGCAAUGGACGAAAGUCUGACGGAGCAACGCCGCGUGAGUGAUGAAGGUUUUCGGAUCGUAAAGCUCUGUUGUUAGGGAAGAACAAGUGCAAGAGUAACUGCUUGCACCUUGACGGUACCUAACCAGAAAGCCACGGCUAACUACGUGCCAGCAGCCGCGGUAAUACGUAGGUGGCAAGCGUUGUCCGGAAUUAUUGGGCGUAAAGGGCUCGCAGGCGGUUUCUUAAGUCUGAUGUGAAAGCCCCCGGCUCAACCGGGGAGGGUCAUUGGAAACUGGGAAACUUGAGUGCAGAAGAGGAGAGUGGAAUUCCACGUGUAGCGGUGAAAUGCGUAGAGAUGUGGAGGAACACCAGUGGCGAAGGCGACUCUCUGGUCUGUAACUGACGCUGAGGAGCGAAAGCG